Molecule: microRNA precursor, 52 nt
Filed under: Marmota monax (woodchuck)
Lineage: Eukaryota; Metazoa; Chordata; Mammalia; Rodentia; Sciuridae
Source: RNAcentral
UUAGAAGUGUACGUAUAUCCCAUGUAAAAUUCGGGAUAUACUUAAACUACAA